Molecule: transfer RNA, 72 nt
Filed under: Kali macrura
Lineage: Eukaryota; Metazoa; Chordata; Actinopteri; Scombriformes; Chiasmodontidae
Description: tRNA-Gly
Rfam family: tRNA
About the family: Transfer RNA (tRNA) molecules are approximately 80 nucleotides in length.
Source: RNAcentral
AUCUUUCUAGUAUUAGUCCCAGUAUAAGUGACUUCCAAUCACCAGGCCUUGGUUAGAAUCCAAGGAAAGAUA